GGCUCAGAUUGAACGCUGGCGGCAUGCCUUACACAUGCAAGUCGAACGGUAACAGGCCGCAAGGUGCUGACGAGUGGCGAACGGGUGAGUAAUACAUCGGAACGUGCCCGAGAGUGGGGGAUAACGGAGCGAAAGCUUUGCUAAUACCGCAUACGAUCUACGGAUGAAAGCAGGGGACCGCAAGGCCUUGCGCUCAUGGAGCGGCCGAUGGCAGAUUAGGUAGUUGGUGGGGUAAAGGCUCACCAAGCCAACGAUCUGUAGCUGGUCUGAGAGGACGACCAGCCACACUGGAACUGAGACACGGUCCAGACUCCUACGGGAGGCAGCAGUGGGGAAUUUUGGACAAUGGACGCAAGUCUGAUCCAGCCAUUCCGCGUGCAGGAUGAAGGCCCUCGGGUUGUAAACUGCUUUUGUACGGAACGAAAAGGUUUCUAUUAAUACUAGGAGCUCAUGACGGUACCGUAAGAAUAAGCACCGGCUAACUACGUG
RNAcentral lists this ribosomal RNA (489 nucleotides) under uncultured bacterium. RNAcentral describes it as "bacterial SSU rRNA". It matches the Rfam family "Bacterial small subunit ribosomal RNA", at positions 21 to 507 of the family's 1533-position model. The record is from RNAcentral.